Molecule: long non-coding RNA, 286 nt
Filed under: Struthio camelus australis
Lineage: Eukaryota; Metazoa; Chordata; Aves; Struthioniformes; Struthionidae
Description: lncRNA (ENSSCUG00000001439.1)
Source: RNAcentral
GAAAUUUGAUGUCUGCGGUGCCCACGUUCAUCCGCCACCAGAGGAAGGGCAGGAAAUCACGUUUCCAAGCGAUCUGACAGCACCACAGAAUCUGACCAAGCCAUGACAACAUGCCAAGAAUGGACUGAAUCAGAAGACCAAGAAGGUCAGCAAGGCGGCGCGCAGAGGAGAAAGACACCUCUGCUGAGAGGUACACAAGCACCAAACUGCUGAGAGGGAAACCAGGUCCUGAGGAGGGUAAUUACAUAUUCUGGACAGUUGAUUUCAGUGAGGCAUUAGACCCUUG